Molecule: ribosomal RNA, 433 nt
Filed under: uncultured Clostridium sp.
Lineage: Bacteria; Bacillati; Bacillota; Clostridia; Eubacteriales; Clostridiaceae
Description: partial 16S ribosomal RNA
Rfam family: Bacterial small subunit ribosomal RNA
Source: RNAcentral
ACGGAAGGCAGCAGUGGGGGAUAUUGCACAAUGGGGGAAACCCUGAUGCAGCGACGCCGCGUGAGGGAAGAAGGUUUUCGGAUUGUAAACCUCUGUCUUAUGGGACGAUAAUGACGGUACCAUAGGAGGAAGCCACGGCUAACUACGUGCCAGCAGCCGCGGUAAUACGUAGGUGGCAAGCGUUGUCCGGAAUUACUGGGUGUAAAGGGAGCGUAGGCGGGAAUGCAAGUUGAAUGUUUAAUCUAUCGGCUCAACUGAUAGUCGCGUUCAAAACUGCGUUUCUUGAGUGAAGUAGAGGCAAGCGGAAUUCCUAGUGUAGCGGUGAAAUGCGUAGAUAUUAGGAGGAACACCAGUGGCGAAGGCGGCUUGCUGGGCUUUUACUGACGCUGAGGCUCGAAAGUGUGGGUAGCAAACAGGAUUAGAUACCCUGGUA